ACCCAACUGACGAGUUCCAAAUAAGACGAAACGCGCUUCCUGGAU
This 45-nucleotide non-coding RNA is filed under the name Schistosoma mansoni. The record is from RNAcentral. Lineage: Eukaryota; Metazoa; Platyhelminthes; Trematoda; Strigeidida; Schistosomatidae.